RNAcentral lists this ribosomal RNA (360 nucleotides) under uncultured eukaryote. RNAcentral describes it as "partial 18S ribosomal RNA". It matches the Rfam family "Eukaryotic small subunit ribosomal RNA", at positions 592 to 976 of the family's 1831-position model. The record is from RNAcentral.
CAAUAGCAUAUAUUAACGUUGUUGCAGUUGAAAAGCUCGUAGUUGAACUUUUGGUAGGAGCGACCUGGCCUUGGGCGCAUGCCCUUGUUUGCCGUGUGUCGUGUCUGGCCAUCCUUUUCCGCUUCGGCGGGAAUCCUUUACUGUGAGUAAACUGGAGUGCUCAAAACAAGACGUUUGUUUGGUACAUUAAAGCAUGGAAUAAUAAGAUAGGACCUGGUUACUAUUUUGUUGGUUUGCAUAGCUAGGUAAUGAUUAACAGGGACAGUUGGGGGUAUUCGUAUUUAAUUGUCAGAGGUGAAAUUCUUGGAUUUAUGAAAGACGAACGACUGCGAAAGCAUUUACCAAGGAUGUUUUCAUUAA